UACGUAGGGGGCUAGCGUUGUCCGGAAUCAUUGGGCGUAAAGCGCGCGCAGGCGGUUUCUUAAGGCCGAUGUAUAAGCCCGGGGCUCAACCCCGGGAGGCAUGGGAAACUGGGAGGCUUGAGUGCAGAAGAGGAGAGUGGAAUUCCUGGUGUAGCGGUGAAAUGCGCAGAUAUCAGGAGGAACACUAAUUGCGAAGGCAGCUCGCUGGGACGUCACUGACGCUGAGACGCGAAAGCGUGGGGAGCAAACAGG
This 252-nucleotide ribosomal RNA is filed under the name uncultured bacterium. RNAcentral describes it as "partial 16S ribosomal RNA". It matches the Rfam family "Bacterial small subunit ribosomal RNA", at positions 524 to 776 of the family's 1533-position model. The record is from RNAcentral.